Molecule: ribosomal RNA, 561 nt
Filed under: Escherichia coli
Lineage: Bacteria; Pseudomonadati; Pseudomonadota; Gammaproteobacteria; Enterobacterales; Enterobacteriaceae
Description: partial 23S ribosomal RNA
Rfam family: Bacterial large subunit ribosomal RNA
Source: RNAcentral
UAACUGGGCGUUAAGUUGCAGGGUAUAGACCCGAAACCCGGUGAUCUAGCCAUGGGCAGGUUGAAGGUUGGGUAACACUAACUGGAGGACCGAACCGACUAAUGUUGAAAAAUUAGCGGAUGACUUGUGGCUGGGGGUGAAAGGCCAAUCAAACCGGGAGAUAGCUGGUUCUCCCCGAAAGCUAUUUAGGUAGCGCCUCGUGAAUUCAUCUCCGGGGGUAGAGCACUGUUUCGGCAAGGGGGUCAUCCCGACUUACCAACCCGAUGCAAACUGCGAAUACCGGAGAAUGUUAUCACGGGAGACACACGGCGGGUGCUAACGUCCGUCGUGAAGAGGGAAACAACCCAGACCGCCAGCUAAGGUCCCAAAGUCAUGGUUAAGUGGGAAACGAUGUGGGAAGGCCCAGACAGCCAGGAUGUUGGCUUAGAAGCAGCCAUCAUUUAAAGAAAGCGUAAUAGCUCACUGGUCGAGUCGGCCUGCGCGGAAGAUGUAACGGGGCUAAACCAUGCACCGAAGCUGCGGCAGCGACACUAUGUGUUGUUGGGUAGGGGAGCGUUCUGU